Molecule: small nucleolar RNA, 132 nt
Organism: Chrysemys picta bellii (western painted turtle)
Lineage: Eukaryota; Metazoa; Chordata; Testudines; Emydidae
Source: Ensembl
UUGCACAGUGAACACCCAAGUAUACUUCAUAGUUCCCUUGGCAUAACUCUGUGCUAGAAUAAUUCUGUGCUUUACCUCUGCAUUGGAAGGAAUCCUUUUCCUUUUACAUGUAUUCAAAAGGACUGUACACUU